UACGGAGGGAGCGAGCGUUGUUCGGAAUCACUGGGCGUAAAGGGUGCGUAGGCGGAUUAGCAAGUCAGAAGUGAAAUCCCCGGGCUUAACCCGGGAACUGCUUUUGAUACUGCUAUUCUAGAGUUUGGCAGAGGUUGGCGGAAUUCCUAGUGUAGAGGUAAAAUUCGUAGAUAUUAGGAGGAACACCAGUGGCGUAGGCGGCCAACUGGGCCAUUACUGACGCUGAGGCACGAAAGCGUGGGGAGCAAACAGG
RNAcentral lists this ribosomal RNA (253 nucleotides) under uncultured bacterium. Its description in RNAcentral is "partial 16S ribosomal RNA". It matches the Rfam family "Bacterial small subunit ribosomal RNA", at positions 524 to 776 of the family's 1533-position model. The record is from RNAcentral.